Rhinopithecus roxellana (golden snub-nosed monkey) is the source of this 1618-nucleotide long non-coding RNA. RefSeq lists it as uncharacterized. The transcript is spliced from 3 exons. NCBI's taxonomy places the organism in Eukaryota, Metazoa, Chordata, Mammalia, Primates, Cercopithecidae. The record is from RefSeq and is a predicted model, not a curated record.
UGGCAUGAUCAUGGCUCACUGCAGCCUUGACCUCCCGGGCUCAAGCAAUCCUCCCAUCUCAGCCUCCUGGGUAGUUGAUACCACACGUACACGUCACCAAGCCUGACUAAUUAUUUGUUUUUUAAGGUUUCUUUGUUGUAGAGACAGAGUCUCACUAUGUUGCCCAGGUUGGUCUUGAACUCCUGGGUUCAAGCGAUCCAUCCACUUUGGCCUCCCAAAGUGCUGGGAUUACAGGUGUGAGCCAACGCACUCAGCCUCUAUUUCCCGUUGAACUGGUUUUGGUAAGAUAUUUUACAGGCUAACUGUGUAUUUCAUCUAGCAGUCAGCAAGUGUUUGCACAUCGUUAUAAAUUAUGUCUUGUUAUGAACUUGUUCUAACAACAAUUCACUCUAAGCAGGCAUUCCGCAUGCUCAUUACAUAAUAUUUUUGUCUCUGUGCAGCUGCACAUCUGCACCAUAGUGUAGCUCCCUGUCCCCGGAUGACCGACUGGAACUAGGUUUCUCCAUCCCCAAUAGGCCUCACUGUGUCUCAUCACACCAAAGUAUUUUUUAAAAGGCUUAAUGAAGACACCAUCCUCUGUAUCAUCCCCCGGGAAGGCUGAGCAGGUUGCGCACCAUAAAUACACUUCAACGUUCCUAUCUGCCUAAGCCUUGGAUCCCCUCCUCUGUAAUAUAGCAAGGUUUCCAACAUUAUAAAUUGGCAAAGGUCUUGCAAUUGUUUGGAUGCCUCCUCCCAGAUCAGUUUUGGUCGUCAUUACCCGAGGGUCUGCCAGGAUGUUAUGGUUCUGAAAAUAAUAAAAGCUGGGAGUAAAAUCAACAGUCCGCUCAAGGCAGCAGCCUCAGUAUGGUCAGAAAAAUCCAGCCCAUUCUACAAGAAGAAUCUAAUAUAAGAAUCUUACAACGUUCUGUUACAACAGCUACUUGAUGUCCCAAGGCCUUGCUUGCCAUAGGCAGCUGACCCCAGGCAAUUACAGAUUCUAAUUUAGGUAACUGAUUUGUCAAAGCACGUCAUGAACGGCUAGCAUCUCACUUUCCACUGGCAAUGAAGUCGCUGUGGCCUUCAAAUCUAAAAAGAUGAAAGGAACAAUUCCAGAUUCCUAUAUUCACAUAUUUGUUCUCCAAAAACCCCUUUUAAAACCAAAACAACUGUGGAAAGAGCAUGCAGAGCAAAAGCCAGGGAAGCCACCAGUGGGUGGGAGAAGCUGUCACUAACGGGCAAGGAUGACUUUCAAGAGCUCCCAAGGGAGGGGCUGGGCAUCUCACUUGCCCCACACUUGGCUACUGGCACCUUCAGAAGACAGUGUCCUCUCCUUCUCUCCUGACUUCUAGAUCUUUCUCUAGAGCCUCUCACUGGGGAACAAAGCAAGAACCACACAAGGAAGGGGCUUCUGGGAAGUCUCUGCCAACCAGAGGAAAGCUUCGAAGGGAAUGGUGGUGACAGGGAAUUGACACAGACAAUCCCGUAUAGCGAGAUGGUUUCUCUUGUAGCUGUUUCACUUUGAAGACGCCGACAGACCCACACCCUCUGAGUGCUAACAGUAGUCUUAAAAGCGUCAUGGAAGGCCGGACAUGGUGACUCAUGCCUGUAAUCCCAGCACUCUGGGAGGCCGAGGCUGGUA